RNAcentral lists this ribosomal RNA (251 nucleotides) under uncultured bacterium. RNAcentral's name for it is "partial 16S ribosomal RNA". It matches the Rfam family "Bacterial small subunit ribosomal RNA", at positions 15 to 258 of the family's 1533-position model. The record is from RNAcentral.
GAUCAUGGUUCAGGAUGAACGCUAGCUACAGGCUUGACACAUGCAAGUCGAGGGGCAUCAGGAAGAAAGCUUGCUUUCUUUGCUGGCGACCGGCGCACGGGUGAGUAACACGUAUCCAACCUGCCCUUUACUCGGGGAUAGCCUUUCGAAAGAAAGAUUAAUACCCGAUAGCAUAAUGAUUCCGCAUGGUUUCAUUAUUAAAGGAUUCCGGUAAAGGAUGGGGAUGCGUUCCAUUAGGUUGUUGGUGAGGG